CUGGCUCAGAACGAACGCUGGCGGCAGGCUUAACACAUGCAAGUCGAGCGCCCCGCAAGGGGAGCGGCAGACGGGUGAGUAACGCGUGGGAAUCUACCCUUGACUACGGAAUAACGCAGGGAAACUUGUGCUAAUACCGUAUGUGUCCUUCGGGAGAAAGAUUUAUCGGUCAAGGAUGAGCCCGCGUUGGAUUAGCUAGUUGGUGGGGUAAAGGCCUACCAAGGCGACGAUCCAUAGCUGGUCUGAGAGGAUGAUCAGCCACAUUGGGACUGAGACACGGCCCAAACUCCUACG
This 294-nucleotide ribosomal RNA is filed under the name Rhizobium leguminosarum bv. trifolii WSM597. RNAcentral's name for it is "16S ribosomal RNA". It matches the Rfam family "Bacterial small subunit ribosomal RNA", at positions 19 to 343 of the family's 1533-position model. Lineage: Bacteria; Pseudomonadati; Pseudomonadota; Alphaproteobacteria; Hyphomicrobiales; Rhizobiaceae. The record is from RNAcentral.